Pezoporus occidentalis (night parrot) is the source of this 1363-nucleotide long non-coding RNA. RefSeq lists it as uncharacterized. Lineage: Eukaryota; Metazoa; Chordata; Aves; Psittaciformes; Psittacidae. The transcript is spliced from 3 exons. The record is from RefSeq and is a predicted model, not a curated record.
AAUCUUCUAAGUACUUGAUUGCUAUCUCUAUAGAUAUGAAAACUGGGUUUGAGAACACAUUUCUAGGCUGUUGCCAGUCUCUUCAGUGAAUUCUGUAAGUCACUCUAUGUUUUGCUUCACCUUUGCCAUCUGCAAAAGACUGUCUGGUGGAAAGCACUAUUCAAGAGCUAUUUUCUGUAUUUAUUUGCAAAAGCUGUUCCAUGCAGCAGAUAGCACUUUCCCUUCCUUGCCUUCUGCUUGGCAUGAGCAGAGCAUAAAGGAUGAAGCUCAGACAUGUGCAAUGGCCCCAAAGGUAGGUGGGGAAUGCUUCUUGGUGGUAGGACACUUGGUCACCGAGGGCCCAGCCCCAUGGGUGCUGCUCCUAGGGUAUCACACUUGCAGAGGAAAGACUGGAGGAGCCUGUGGGGACCCUUGCUUUGUAUGGAGGGAGAGGGGAAGGAGGGGACCAGGCCUUGGAGCAGGCUCAGCAGGCUGCUUGGGAACCAGCGAGUAGGGAAAGGAGAGGGAGCCGAAGGCAACCACUGCCAUAGCCGUGUUGGCACGAUGUCAGCAAGAGCAGUAGCGACUUGGACCAGCUCUCCGCUGUGACCCUUCCCGACUGCACCGCGGGGCCGCUGCGGUCACCACGGCAACAGCGCAUCCCUGUGGCGCGGUUGCCUGGUGACGGCGGCGGGGCCGAGGCGGCCGCAGAGGGUGAGCGGGGCCGGACCGAGCCCCUCCGUCAGCGGCUGACCCGGGGCUGGGUCUCCUCGGCCUGGCUGGACGCUUUUCCCAGAGCACAACCCCUCCUGAUGGCCGGCGCCGCAGUGGCAGCCGUGCGGAGGUGCGAGUGUGGCACCAGGAUGGGAGCAGGCGUGGCAGGUCCUUGUCAUAGGGAGGGCUGCAUCACCCAGCCGGCAUCCCAGAGGAGAAGCAGAUGGCAUGCUUUCUUUGGGUAGAUGGAAACACACAUGAACAAAUGCUACAUGUCAGUGUAAUGAGGCUAUUUGAAAAGAAGUUACCGCCUUUGCAAGCCUGGAAGAUGAUUUGAAUUGAGAGGAUGGACUGAGAUGCAUGUGAGCUGCAUAUUUUAAAACACAGGGAAGUAUGUGCAAGGUCUUAGGAGCAAAGAGCCUGGAAGGCACAGAACAAAGCAUCUGCUACAAGAGAAACAUUGAGAAAGAGCAGCCUUUUGAAACUCUAUGCUGUUAAAAACUGUUCAGCUGCUGUCUAGAAAGAUGCAAAGGGUCCCUGCUCUCAAAAACGCUCACAAGGGCAGCCUGGAGAGAAGAAAUAUUGUCUUUCAUUGAUGGUCCUGGGUGAGUCAUUCACCCUCUGUCUGACUCAGCACUGAGCACUCCUGCACUUCCCAGAACAUCUCCCA